GACGAACGCUGGCGGCGUGCUUAACACAUGCAAGUCGAGCGAGGCCCUCUCUUCGGAGAGGUGCCCUAGCGGCGAACGGGUGAGUAACACGUGGGCAACCUGCCCCUAGCACUGGGAUAACUCCGGGAAACCGGGGCUAAUACCGGAUACGACUUCCGAGGGCAUCCUUGGAAGUGGAAAGGACUCUGGCUAGGGAUGGGCCCGCGGCCUAUCAGCUUGUUGGUGGGGUAACGGCCCACCAAGGCAACGACGGGUAGCCGGCCUGAGAGGGCGACCGGCCACACUGGGACUGAGACACGGCCCAGACUCCUACGGGAGGCAGCAGUGGGGAAUAUUGCACAAUGGGCGAAAGCCUGAUGCAGCGACGCCGCGUGAGGGAUGACGGCCUUCGGGUUGUAAACCUCUUUCAGCAGGGACGAAGCGAAAGUGACGGUACCUGCAGAAGAAGCACCGGCCAACUACGUGCCAGCAGCCGCGGUAAUACGUAGGGUGCAAGCGUUGUCCGGAAUUAUUGGGCGUAAAGAGCUCGUAGGCGGCUUGUCGCGUCGGCUGUGAAAACCUGGGGCUCAACCCCGGGCUUGCAGCCGAUACGGGCAAGCUAGAAUUCGGUAGGGGAGACUGGAAUUCCUGGUGUAGCGGUGAAAUGCGCAGAUAUCAGGAGGAACACCGGUGGCGAAGGCGGGUCUCUGGGCCGAUAUUGACGCUGAGGAGCGAAAGCGUGGGGAGCGAACAGGAUUAGAUACCCUGGUAGUCCACGCCGUAAACGUUGGGAACUAGGUGUGGGCCACAUUCCACGUGGUCUGUGCCGCAGCUAACGCAUUAAGUUCCCCGCCUGGGGAGUACGGCCGCAAGGCUAAAACUCAAAGGAAUUGACGGGGGCCCGCACAAGCGGCGGAGCAUGUGGCUUAAUUCGAUGCAACGCGAAGAACCUUACCUGGGUUUGACAUGCAGGGAAAUCUCGUAGAGAUACGGGGUCCGUAAGGGCCUUGCACAGGUGGUGCAUGGCUGUCGUCAGCUCGUUGUCGUGAAGAUGUUGGGAUUAAGUCCCGCAACGAGCGCAACCUCGUCUAUGUUGCCAGCGAGUAAUGUCGGGRACUCAUAGGAAGACUGCCGGGGUCAACUCGGAGGAAGGUGGGGAUGACGUCAAGUCAUCAUGCCCCUUAUAUCCAGGGCUGCACACAUGCUACAAUGGCCGGUACAAAGAGCUGCGAUWCCGCAAGGUGGAGCGAAUCUCAUAAAGCCGGUCUCAGUUCGGAUUGAGGUCUGCAACUCGACCUCAUGAAGUCGGAGUCGCUAGUAAUCGCASAUCAGCAACGCUGUGGUGAAUACGUUCCCGGGCCUUGUAC
This 1346-nucleotide ribosomal RNA is filed under the name bacterium Ellin347. RNAcentral's name for it is "bacterial SSU rRNA". It matches the Rfam family "Bacterial small subunit ribosomal RNA", at positions 28 to 1386 of the family's 1533-position model. The record is from RNAcentral. Lineage: Bacteria; Bacillati; Actinomycetota; Actinomycetes; Actinomycetales.